CACGAAGUUAGCCGGGGCUUCUUCUGCAGGUACCGUCAUUAUCUUCCCUGCUGAAAGAAUUUUACAAUCCUAAGACCUUCAUCAUUCACGCGGCAUGGCUGCGUCAGGCUUUCGCCCAUUGCGCAAGAUUCCCCACUGCUGCCUCCCGUAGGAGUCUGGGCCGUGUCUCAGUCCCAGUGUGGCUGAUCAUCCUCUCAGACCAGCUAUGGAUCGUAGCCUUGGUGGGCCUUUACCCCACCAACUAGCUAAUCCAACGCGGGCCGCUCCAAUGGCGAUAAAUCUUUCCCCCGAAGGGCACAUCCGGUAUUAGCUCAAGUUUCCCUGAGUUGUUCCGAACCAAAGGGCACGUUCCCACGCGUUACUCACCCGUCCGCCACUAUCCCGAAGGAUCGUUCGACUUGCAUGUGUUAGGCCUGCCGCCAGCGUUCGCUCUGAGCCAGGAUCAAACUCU
This 451-nucleotide ribosomal RNA is filed under the name uncultured Caulobacter sp. RNAcentral's name for it is "partial 16S ribosomal RNA". The record is from RNAcentral. Lineage: Bacteria; Pseudomonadati; Pseudomonadota; Alphaproteobacteria; Caulobacterales; Caulobacteraceae.